UGGGGAAUCUUCCGCAAUUUCCGAAAGUCUGAUGGAGCAACGCCGCGUGAGCGAAGAAGGUCUUCGGAUCGUAAAGCUCUGUUGUUAGGGAAGAACAAGUACCGGAGUAACUGCCGGUACCUUGACGGUACCUAACCAAAAAGCCACGGCUAACUACGUGCCAGCAGCCGCGGUAAUACGUAGGUGGCAAGCGUUGUCCGGAAUUAUUGGGCGUAAAGCGCGCGCAGGCGGUCCUUUAAGUCUGAUGUGAAAUCCCCCGGCUCAACCNGGGGAGGGUCAUUGGAAACUGGGGGACUUGAGUGCAGGAGAGGAAAGCGGAAUUCCCUGUGUAGCGGUGAAAUGCGUAGAGAUAUGGAGGAACACCCGUGGCGAAGGCGGCUUUCUGGUCUGUAACUGACGCUGAUGCGCGAAAGCGUGGGGAGCAAACAGGAUUAGAUACCCUGGUAGUCCACGCCCUAAACGAUGANUGCUAANUGUUGGNGGGUUUCCCCCCCUCAGUGCUGCAGCUAACGCAUUAUUCACUCCNCCUGGGGANUACGNUCCCCAGACUGAAACUCAAGGGGNUUUGGCGGGCG
RNAcentral lists this ribosomal RNA (575 nucleotides) under uncultured bacterium. RNAcentral's name for it is "bacterial SSU rRNA". It matches the Rfam family "Bacterial small subunit ribosomal RNA", at positions 355 to 919 of the family's 1533-position model. The record is from RNAcentral.